RNAcentral lists this ribosomal RNA (424 nucleotides) under uncultured prokaryote. Its description in RNAcentral is "bacterial SSU rRNA". It matches the Rfam family "Bacterial small subunit ribosomal RNA", at positions 355 to 796 of the family's 1533-position model. The record is from RNAcentral.
UGGGGAGUAUUGGACAAUGGGCGCAAGCCUGAUCCAGCCAUGCCGCGUGGAUGAAGAAGGCCCUAGGGUUGUAAAAUCCUUUCGCUAGGGAAGAUAAUGACGGUACCUAGUAAAGAAGCCCCGGCUAAUUUCGUGCCAGCAGCCGCGGUAAUACGAAAGGGGCUAGCGUUGUUCGGAAUUACUGGGCGUAAAGCGCACGUAGGCGGCCUUGUAAGUUGGGGGUGAAAUCCCGGAGCUCAACUCCGGAACUGCCUCCAAAACUACAAAGCUAGAGGAUGUGAGAGGUGAGUGGAAUUCCGAGUGUAGAGGUGAAAUUCGUAGAUAUUCGGAAGAACACCAGUGGCGAAGGCGACUCACUGGCACAUUUCUGACGCUGAGGUGCGAAAGCGUGGGGAGCAAACAGGAUUAGAUACCCCCGUAGUCC